UACGUAGGGUGCGAGCGUUGUCCGGAAUUAUUGGGCGUAAAGAGCUCGUAGGCGGUGUGUCCCGUCGGCCGUGAAAACCUGCAGCUUAACUGUGGGCGUGCGGUCGAUACGGGCAUCACUGGAGUUCGGCAGGGGAGACUGGAAUUCCUGGUGUAGCGGUGAAAUGCGCAGAUAUCAGGAGGAACACCGGUGGCGAAGGCGGGUCUCUGGGCCGAUACUGACGCUGAGGAGCGAAAGCGUGGGGAGCAAACAGG
Molecule: ribosomal RNA, 254 nt
Filed under: uncultured bacterium
Lineage: Bacteria
Description: partial 16S ribosomal RNA
Rfam family: Bacterial small subunit ribosomal RNA
Source: RNAcentral